UACGUAGGGUGCGAGCGUUAAUCGGAAUUACUGGGCGUAAAGCGUGCGCAGGCGGUUUUGUAAGCCAGAUGUGAAAGCCCCGGGCUUAACCUGGGAAUGGCAUUUGGGACUGCAAGGCUUGAGUGCGGCAGAGGAGACUGGAAUUCCUGGUGUAGCGGUGAAAUGCGCAGAUAUCAGGAGGAACACCGGUGGCGAAGGCGGGACUCUGGGCCGUAACUGACGCUGAGGAGCGAAAGCGUGGGGAGCGAACAGG
Molecule: ribosomal RNA, 253 nt
Filed under: uncultured bacterium
Lineage: Bacteria
Description: partial 16S ribosomal RNA
Rfam family: Bacterial small subunit ribosomal RNA
Source: RNAcentral